GAUGAACGCUGGCGGCGUGCCUAAUACAUGCAAGUCGAGCGAAUGGAUUGAGAGCUUGCUCUUAUGAAGCUAGCGGCGGACGGGUGAGUAACACGUGGGUAACCUGCCCAUAAGACUGGGAUAACUCCGGGAAACCGGGGCUAAUACCGGAUAACAUUUUGAACCGCAUGGUUCGAAAUUGAAAGGCGGCUUCGGCUGUCACUUAUGGAUGGACCCGCGUCGCAUUAGCUAGUUGGUGAGGUAACGGCUCACCAAGGCAACGAUGCGUAGCCGACCUGAGAGGGUGAUCGGCCACACUGGGACUGAGACACGGCCCAGACUCCUACGGGAGGCAGCAGUAGGGAAUCUUCCGCAAUGGACGAAAGUCUGACGGAGCAACGCCGCGUGAGUGAUGAAGGCUUUCGGGUCGUAAAACUCUGUUGUUAGGGAAGAACAAGUGCUAGUUGAAUAAGCUGGCACCUUGACGGUACCUAACCAGAAAGCCACGGCUAACUACGUGCCGGCAGCCGCAGUAA
This 515-nucleotide ribosomal RNA is filed under the name uncultured bacterium. RNAcentral's name for it is "partial 16S ribosomal RNA". It matches the Rfam family "Bacterial small subunit ribosomal RNA", at positions 28 to 523 of the family's 1533-position model. The record is from RNAcentral.